UCAAGCUAAUAAGAGCGCAAGGGGAAUGCCUUGGCAUCAGGAGCCGACGAAGGACGUGACAAGCUGCGAUAAGCUACGGUGAGGAGCAAAUAUCCUGUGACCCGUAGAUUUCCGAAUGGGGCAACCCGGCUGGACAAUAUCCAGUCAUCCUGCAUUGAAUAAAAUAGGUGUAGGAAGGGAACCGCCUGAACUGAAACAUCUAAGUAGGGCGAGGAAAAGACAUCAACCGAGAUUCCGCAAGUAGUGGCGAGCGAACGCGGAAGAGGCCAAACCGGAGGAUUUAUUCUCCGGGGUUGCGGACAGCUAUACGGAACAAUAGUUUAGCCGAACGGUCUGGGAAGGCCGGUCACAGAGGGUGAGAACCCCGUAGGCGAAAGACGAAUUGUUUCAGGCUGGAUCCAGAGUACCGCAGGACACGUGAAACCCUGUGGGAAACAGGGGGGACCACCCUCCAAGCCUAAAUACUACCUGAUGACCGAUAGAGGAGCAGUACCGUGAGGGAAAGGUGAAAAGGACCCCGGGAGGGGAGUGAAAGAGAACCUGAAACCUUGUGCUUACAAGCAGUCAGAGCACGUUAACGUGUGAUGGCGUACUUUUUGUAGAACGGUCCGGCGAGUUAUAGUAACGAGCAAGCUUAAGGUAUUCAGUACCGGAGGCGAAGCGAAAGCGAGUCUGAAUAGGGCGCAUGAAGUUCGUUGCCAUAGACCCGAAACCGGGUGACCUACGCAUGAGCAGGUUGAAGUGGGGGUGAAACCCCAUGGAGGACCGAACCAACCCCCGUUGCAAUGGUGGUGGAUGACUUGUGUGUAGCGGUGAAAUUCCAAUCGAACUCGGAGAUAGCUGGUUCUCCCCGAAAUAGCUUUAGGGCUAGCGUUAGUUUAGAUUACCGGAGGUAAAGCACUGAAUGGUUUAGGGGCUGAUAAAGUUACCGACGCCUAUCAAACUCUGAAUGCCGGAUAAUUGAUGACUAGCAGUCAGACAGUGUGAGAUAAGUUUCAUUGUCAAAAGGGAAACAGCCCAGACCUACAGCUAAGGUCCCAAAUGUAUGCUAAGUGGAAAACGAUGUGGAAUUGCGAAAACAACCAGGAUGUUGGCUUAGAAGCAGCCACACAUUAAAAGAGUGCGUAAUAGCUCACUGGUCGAGUGACUCUGCGCGGAAAAUGUAACGGGGCUAAGCAUACAACCGAAGCUUAGGAUUGUCUAAAGACAGUGGUAGGGGAGCGUUCUGUAUGGGGUGAAGUCGCAGCGAGAGCAGCGGUGGACUGUACAGAAGUGAGAAUGCCGGAAUGAGUAGCGAGAAUUAUGUGGGAAUCAUAAUGGCCGAAAAUCUAAGGUUUCUUGGGGAAGGUUCGUCCGCCCAAGGUAAGUCGGGAGCUAAGCUCAGGCCGAGAGGCGUAGGCGAUGCACAUACGGUAGAAAUUCCGUAACCACCGAACUUUAAGCAUGAGGGACACUUUGAGAUAGCGGAACCCGGGCGUUGGUUGACCCGGGCGAAAGGGACCGAAAUAUAGUAGGGAAGUCCGCGAUGCUUGGAGGCGAGAAAAGCUCAUGUGUAUACUAAGGUGCCCGUACCGCAAACCGACACAGGUAGAUGAGGAGAGAAUCCUAAGGCCAACGGGAGAAGGGUUGUUAAGGAACUCGGCAAGAUGACCCCGUAACUUCGGAAGAAGGGGAGCCUCGAAAGAGGCCGCAGUGAAUAGGCCCAAGCAACUGUUUACCAAAAACACAGGUUUAUGCUAAAUCGAAAGAUGACGUAUAUGAGCUGACGCCUGCCCGGUGCCGGAAGGUUAAGAGGAGAUGUCAACCGCGAGGUGAAGCAUUGAAUUGAAGCCCCGGUAAACGGCGGCCGUAACUAUAACGGUCCUAAGGUAGCGAAAUUCCUUGUCAGGUAAGUUCUGACCCGCACGAAAGG
Molecule: ribosomal RNA, 1912 nt
Filed under: human gut metagenome
Description: bacterial LSU rRNA
Rfam family: Bacterial large subunit ribosomal RNA
Source: RNAcentral